GAUAGUCUGCAAUUUUUGAUGGA
This 23-nucleotide non-coding RNA is filed under the name Arabidopsis thaliana (thale cress). The record is from RNAcentral. Lineage: Eukaryota; Viridiplantae; Streptophyta; Magnoliopsida; Brassicales; Brassicaceae.